GCCGUAAACAUUGAUAGAUUAAUACAACCCCUAUCCGCCCGGGAACUACGAGCACCAGCUUAAAACCCAAAGGACUUGGCGGUGCUUUAGAUCCUACUAGAGGAGCCUGUUCUAGAACCGAUACCCCCCGUUCAACCUCACCUUUCCUUGUUUUUCCCGCCUAUAUACCGCCGUCGUCAGCCCACCCUAUGAAGGACUAAAAGUAGGCUAAAUUGGCACAGCCCAGAACGUCAGGCCGAGGUGUAGCGUAUGGAAGGGGAAGAAAUGGGCUACAUUCCCUAUACUAGGGUACACGAAUGGUGUGCUGAAACGUACAUCUUGAAGGAGGAUUUAGCAGUAAGCAGGAAGUAGAGCGUCCUGCUGAAACUGGCUC
This 373-nucleotide ribosomal RNA is filed under the name Pagetopsis macropterus. RNAcentral's name for it is "partial 12S ribosomal RNA". It matches the Rfam family "Bacterial small subunit ribosomal RNA", at positions 799 to 1374 of the family's 1533-position model. Lineage: Eukaryota; Metazoa; Chordata; Actinopteri; Perciformes; Channichthyidae. The record is from RNAcentral.